Molecule: ribosomal RNA, 274 nt
Filed under: uncultured bacterium
Lineage: Bacteria
Description: partial 16S ribosomal RNA
Rfam family: Bacterial small subunit ribosomal RNA
Source: RNAcentral
AUACGGAGGGUGCGAGCGUUAAUCGGAAUUACUGGGCGUAAAGCGCACGUAGGCGGUUUGUUAAGUCGGAUGUGAAAUCCCCGGGCUCAACCUGGGACCUGCAUCCGAUACUGGCGGGCUAGAGUCUGGUAGAGGGGGGUAGAAUUCCUGGUGUAGCGGUGAAAUGCGUAGAUAUCAGGAGGAAUACCAGUGGCGAAGGCGGCCCCCUGGACUGAGACUGACGCUGAGGUGCGAAAGCGUGGGGAGCAAACAGGAUUAGAAACCCCAGUAGUCC